CUUUGUAAAUGAGCAACAGGAUCAGAAAUUAUGAUCCUCAGGGAAGCCUGGAGAUGCGAGCUUCCACAGCCGGCGGGUCAGCGGCACAGGUGGGCAACCUGGCAGAAGCGGCGAGAACAGCAGGAUUCGAUCAAGCCGUUACAGGGCCAGUUUGUGCUGGCUCAGCCGGUGCGAGGAUGCGUCCUAGCCAUUCCAUUCAAUUCACAAGGUGCCCCCAAAGAAGGAAGCAUUGGGGGGCUUGGCUGUUUUAAAGGAUUUCAACCGAAGAUCUUUGAAUAUUCCACUGGCUUAUGAAUCCAUAUGCAUCUGAAUUGGAUACACAGAGCCCUCAUUGGAUCUUAAGGAAAAUAUUUGCCUUGCAGUGUGACCUUUGCCCGUGACGAGGCUGUGCGCUGCACUUCCUGAGAGCUGAGUGGGUUCCUCAGAGCUGACUGACUCUCUGGGGAGGAGGCAUGAGGAGGAGAAACGAAAAUGAACGUUUCUCCAGCAUCCACCCUCCACUGGCGCUUCAGUGAACUCCCACAGCGUCCCGGAAGGUGUGAUGUGUCCUCCUCCUCCUACGGGCGAGCAAAUAGGCCAAGAAGAAAGCCAGUGGCCCAGCCCACAGCCCAGGGCAGAAGAGCCAGGAUCAAGUUCAGAUCUGCCUCCCUCCAACGCCCUGGUUCUGUCCCCCUCAUCAUGCCGACCGUGUGCAGCUGACGCUGCGGGAAUGAAAGUCACAAGGGGGCAGGCCUCAGGAAUAUGUUCUUCCUGCACAACUGGAAUGUCCUCUGUGAUGACACAGAGCACCCUCCCAGCUCUGCACACCGAACCCUGCUCCCCCCAACUCUGUCCGGGCCCUGCCACCUGUGGGGUGUGCAGAGAAGGGCAGGGGCAGGGCUUUCUCCUCCCCCACCCAGCUCCUGCCCCUGUGGGGUGGGGAGUAAACAGAGGGAUGUGAUUGGAGCCCCACCCCUGCCUCCACCUCCCCAGGGAUCCCGGAAAGGCUGCUAGCCCAGCCUGGGUCUCAGCUUCUGCAUCUACAAAUGAGGAUGACCCCACGUGGCCUGCCUGGGUCACAGGCGUGCUGGUGGGAUGGGUGCAAUGCCGUGGAAGUGAGUCACCUCUGCGUCCCUGUCUUGGUUCUGCGUGGAAGCUGAGAUAGGCGGUUGGGCCAGAUGAUGCGAAAGGCAGCUUUGGCUCUGCGUUCCUGAAUCAGUGAGGAGGGAGCAGCCAGUUCCCUAACUUCCCAGGACCCAGAUGCUCCAGGUCACUGCUGACUCCAACAUUUGGUCCUGAUGUCCCCAAAGUGCACUUGCACUGUCAGCCUGUGGGGUCCUGUUUUCGAUUCAGAAAGUAUGGUGUCUGGUGUACAGCACUCAGAGAUGACUGUCACAUGGCAUGGGCCAUGUCACGACUGCCUGUGACCUCAGCCCGUCGUGGGCACCUCUCUGACUCAUCCUCUGGCUCCCGCUGCCAGGAGAGAGGCUCGGGAAGACCAGUCAACGAAGGAGCCAGCGUUUGUCCUGCCUGUGUCACAGGCUUGCAGACAGGGCUCACAGCAGGUGCCCACCGACUGUGAAGGUGCUGAGCGGUGUCUCCCAACACGCCAGAAUCUAUUGCCUACGGGCACCGCCACCCCAUGAGCUGACUGGAUAACCACAGCAAACUGAGGCAGAGAUCACUACUGUUUAAUGUUUAUGAAGCAGACACUGAGGCCAGAAAUGAAAAGUGACUUGUCCAAAGCCACACAGCAAAAGAAGAAGAGAGCUGGGUGCUGGGACCCAAGGCUCUGGGAUCUAACUGUACAGAGCCAUCACUGUCAUCUGGACUGUGACUAUUUCCUGAGCACCUCCCCUGUGCCAGGUACUUCAGAAGCACGAUCUCUUCUAAUCCUCAGGUGACAAAAUGGGGGGCUCCAAAUCCCCCGCUUUCUCUUGGGGUUUGUCAGAGGCACUGACCACAGCCACUCUGUGCAGACGUGGGGAGCAGCCCCCAGGCCAGGUCCAAGGACGCAGCACAAAGCCUGGCGGCCACCUCCUGCCCAGCAAUGAGCUCUCUUCCUGGAUCACCGGGCAGGGCCCUGCCUGACACUCUCCUCCGGGCAGUCACUCGCUGGGCGGGUGGCCCCCACUAUGGCUGGGCUGACUGGCGGCAGACAGGGAGGAGCCGGCCUCUGUUGCAUCUCCACACCCAAACCUCUGCCUCACUGCUCACCUCCUCCAGGAAGCCCUCCCCCAGGAAGCCCCCCUCCCAAGAGCAUGGAGGGACCUUGGAGACCAUCCAGUCCCCGGUACCCCCUUUCACAGAUGGGGAAACUGCAGCCCGGACAGGAGGAGGCCCAUGGCAGGCCUCCCGGCCCCGGUGCAGGGCCCUUUAGGGCCCACUCUGCUGCUGUGACUACAGUCGCCACACACAACACGGGCCAUGCCUUCCACCGAGGGCCGCUGCGUUCAGAGCCUCGGGUCAGCCUUUAAAACAGGAGACCUGAGUCCCUGUUGGCCCCAUCAUUGGUACAGCCACAGCCAGCCUGGGGAGGAGGUGACUCUCCCAGGCCCGAGAGGCAGGAGUCACCCGGGAUCCUGCCGUCUCUCUGCAGGCUGUGCCCAGAUUCUUGACCCACAAAACCUCCGAGAUAAUAAAUGCUUGUUGUUUUAAGCUGCUAAAUUUCAACGGGUAUUUGUUAUGCAGCCAUAGGUAACUAACAUACCUAGUAUUUGUCUAUUUUGUGCCAGGCCCUAUGCUGCACAUACACUCAUUCAAGAUAGAUUUAUUAAGUGCCACUGUGUACGAGGCAUCGUGCCAGGUAUUGGCUUUAUGGUGGUAAACCAGACAGAUGUUGUCCACGCUUUCAAAGACCUCAAGGUUCAGUUGGGGAUUCAGACUUUAAACGGACAGUGCGAGUAGUGCCAUGGGAGCCCAGGGGAGGCAGCGGGGCCAGCCUGGAGAGGUCAGUGGAGGCUUCCUAGCAGAGGGGAUGUCUGAGACAAACCCAAGACUAAGGAGAACCUUCCAGGCAAAGGUGGAGCAAAGGACACCUCAGAAAGAGGCCGAGAGAGUGGCAAGGCGGGCUGUACGGAGACCUGGCCCACGGGGGAACAAGGGGAAAAGGAGACAGUGGCAAAAGCCUGGCUGGAAGGGGGAACGUGACAGAGGGAGGCAGAGAGGAA
This is a long non-coding RNA of Equus quagga, 3149 nucleotides long. RefSeq lists it as uncharacterized. The transcript is spliced from 3 exons. Lineage: Eukaryota; Metazoa; Chordata; Mammalia; Perissodactyla; Equidae. The record is from RefSeq and is a predicted model, not a curated record.